AUCUCCACUGACAAGGUGUUGAUAUGUGGAAGUAGUUACCUCAGGUCAAGUGUUCCUGCAACCAGGCUGCAAGUACUCACUUCAAUGGAAAGCUCUGAGGUCCCUGCCAGCCCCUCUGGUCUACAGAUGUCUCGGGAUGCAGCCCCACCCUUUCUUAGUCACAGCAGUGGGAUUUGCAAAUGAGCAACACACCAGAGUUGUAACCAACUUUAAGGUGGACUUCAGCAAAAGAAUGGAGCAAUCACUGGGUGCCAGUAACACUAUGCUACGAUGUGCAGAGAGGGAAAUGAAGGCUAGCUCAUCCGAAGGAAACUACAGGGGAAUUUUAGAUCAGCAGAAUGCAAUUAUCCAAGUUGGAAUUGUUCCAGAACACCAAAGAGAACUCUAAAGAAAAUCUUAAAAAGAAAAAAAGAAGGUGAUGACUUUGGAUAGAACCCAACCAGCCCGUGCUGGUCAUGGAAGUGGAGAGACUGUGGCAGGAGCAGAACAGCGAUGGAGGGAUGCUUCUUAUGGAAGUUGGGAGCCUGAUGAAUGAGUUCAUCAUUUUUUCUACCCUGAAAGUGACAAAAACUAACUCAUGAAACUUUUCUGCCUGUAUUCCAGAGAAUGCAAAAAUUACUCAUCAAGUAAAAAAUUAAAAGGAAUUUUUAGUGCUCUGAAGUGGGAACUUAAAUUUUCCACUAUAAUUUACUCGAUUUUUAGAGAUGACUUAUAGGUUAUGGUGGGAUGGGUGAAUGUGUCCAUUUUGCAUGUGCUCAGUAUGUCCGCUUACAAGUUUCAAGUGUCUGCUGUAUACCACAGCAUUAGCAGUGAAUGUUUCUGGGCUGGGGAAUUUAGAAUUAUUUUUGUUUCAGUCUUCAUAUAUUUCUACUUCCUUAAAAAUUUUCU
This is a long non-coding RNA of Piliocolobus tephrosceles (Ugandan red Colobus), 888 nucleotides long. RefSeq lists it as uncharacterized. The transcript is spliced from 3 exons. Lineage: Eukaryota; Metazoa; Chordata; Mammalia; Primates; Cercopithecidae. The record is from RefSeq and is a predicted model, not a curated record.